Molecule: ribosomal RNA, 458 nt
Filed under: uncultured bacterium
Lineage: Bacteria
Description: bacterial SSU rRNA
Rfam family: Bacterial small subunit ribosomal RNA
Source: RNAcentral
GAUGAACGUUGGCGGUGUGCCUAAUACAUGCAAGUCGAACGGAGUUAAUAGCAAUAUUGGCUCAGUGGCGAACGGGUGAGUAACGCGUUGGUGAUCUGCCUUGAAGUGUGGAAUAACGUUUCGAAAGAGACGCUAAUACCGCAUGUGCUCUCGAUUUUCAGAAAGUUGAGAGUAAAGGAUUUAUUCGCUUCAAGAGGAGCCUGCGUCCCAUCAGCUGGUUGGUAGGGUAACGGCCUACCAAGGCUAUGACGGGUAGGGGACCUGAGAGGGUGGCCCCCCACAAUGGAACUGAAACACGGUCCAUACACCUACGGGUGGCAGCAGUAGGGAAUAUUAGAAAUGGACGAAAGUCUGAUCUAGCAACACCGCGUGUGCGAAGAAGGCCUUGGGUCGUAAAGCACUUUUUGGAAGGAAUAGGAAGGAAUGUACUUCCAGAAUAAGUCUCGGCUAACUACGUG